RNAcentral lists this ribosomal RNA (568 nucleotides) under uncultured Gloeotrichia sp. RNAcentral's name for it is "bacterial SSU rRNA". It matches the Rfam family "Bacterial small subunit ribosomal RNA", at positions 337 to 918 of the family's 1533-position model. The record is from RNAcentral. Lineage: Bacteria; Bacillati; Cyanobacteriota; Cyanophyceae; Nostocales; Gloeotrichiaceae.
UCCUACGGGAGGCAGCAGUGGGGAAUUUUCCGCAAUGGGCGAAAGCCUGACGGAGCAAUACCGCGUGAGGGAGGAAGGCUCUUGGGUUGUAAACCUCUCUUCUCAGGGAAGAAAAAAAUGACGGUACCUGAGGAAUAAGCAUCGGCUAACUCCGUGCCAGCAGCCGCGGUAAUACGGAGGAUGCAAGCGUUAUCCGGAAUGAUUGGGCGUAAAGCGUCCGCAGGUGGCUAUGUAAGUUUGCUGUUAAAGAGUCUAGCUCAACUAGAUAAAAGCAGUGGAAACUACAUGGCUAGAGUGCGUUCGGGGCAGAGGGAAUUCCUGGUGUAGCGGUGAAAUGCGUAGAGAUCAGGAAGAACACCGGUGGCGAAAGCGCUCUGCUAGGCCGCAACUGACACUGAGGGACGAAAGCUAGGGGAGCGAAUGGGAUUAGAUACCCCAGUAGUCUUAGCCGUAAACGAUGGAUACUAGGCGUGGCUUGUAUCGACCCGAGCCGUGCCGUAGCUAACGCGUUAAGUAUCCCGCCUGGGGAGUACGCACGCAAGUGUGAAACUCAAAGGAAUUGACGGGG